This is a long non-coding RNA of Dromiciops gliroides (monito del monte), 5051 nucleotides long. RefSeq lists it as uncharacterized. The record is from RefSeq and is a predicted model, not a curated record. Lineage: Eukaryota; Metazoa; Chordata; Mammalia; Microbiotheria; Microbiotheriidae. The transcript is spliced from 11 exons.
UUUAAAUAUUUUUGAGCUCUUCCAAGGGGAGUUUUUGGGCUUGAGACCAAUUCAUAUUCCUCUUUGAGGACAUUGAUGACAUUGUUGUCAUCUUCUGAGUUUGUGUUUUUCUUUUAUUUCUUUUAUGCUUUUUUAUUUUUGCUCAUUUUUAAGCCUAUUUCAUGACUUUUAAAGUUUAGCUCUUCUCCUGUGGUACAGGGGGAAUAAUCCCAAACUUCUUGCCAUGGGGGGCAUAGGGUUAGGUCAAGUACCACCAAAGGGGGCAAGCACUAUGCAGGGGCCUCUGGGGCUGGCAGCUUGCCCAAAGGGCUGGGAUAGCCUAGCCUAAUCAAGCCUAUUGUACUUGAUUGGUUCUAGGGAUGGCUAUUUGCCUGAUGUGCUGGGGCUGGAAGCCAAGACCCCAGGAUCUUGGUCACUGAUCCAUGCUGUGGCUAAGAGCCUGGUGAUACCACCUGAAUGGGCUGUGCUCCCUUUUUGCUCAAGUGAGACAGACUAUGGUCUCUGGUUUGAACAUUGUUUCACCCAAUCUUUUGGUGGGUUCUUUUGCUUCAGAAUUUGUUUAGUGGCUUGAUUAAACAUUGUUUUUAGAGAAAUUGUGGAGAGCCCAGGAACUUCCUGGCUUUUCUCUGCCAUCUUGGUUCUACUUCUGUCUCUUAACUUAAGUAACAAUAACUCUAAACACUGCAAGAGUGAAUUUUAAAUUUGCUGUUGUGGUGGCUCUGGGUUCAAGAAUGUCAGAAGUCCUCUACUCAUUAUCUUUACUAUCUAUGGAAGUCCAGCUUUUUCUGAGGUUCUGACUCAUCCCUACCUGGGGAGAUAAGUAUCAUGAGAUACUUUUGUUUUAAAACAAAGUUCCCUGUAAUAACUGGUUGCAAGCUCAGAAUAAGGGUUGGUUUUCUCCUGUGGGCAUUCUUUUAACAUUUCAAGAAUAGAGAAUAGGGAUAAGUUUAGGAUUGAUGCUGAUGCUAUUGAGAAACAGACAGACACAAAUACCAAGAGGCAGAGAUGAUUUUCCUUCUGUUGCAGCAUGAGGUUUAAAAUUUGGUCCUUGCCCCCUUUGGUGUUACUUGACCUAACCCUAGCAGUGAAGAUGCAACUAUUAAGAGUUCUAGCCCCAGACAUGGUCAGCAGCUCAUGAAUCUAAUGAAGGAAGUGAGAUUUCCUGUUGCUUGUUCAGAUUCCUCAGCCGUAAUCCAUCACUUUAGCAAAGAGAUUCCCUAUUGCUGAAAUGUGGGGUUCAGUGACUCAGCUCUGACUUCCUUCAGAGCAGACAGUGGCAGCAGAGCUUUCUGUACCAUUCUGUCUAUGGGUGUACAACAACAAGGAGACUUCAUCUCAGUGUUUGGAACAUAUGUAUUCCAUCAGCCAAUAACAGAGUUGAUUCUCAACCUUGUCUCUCUACUCCUUUCUGAUCAUUUUCCAGCAGAGAUCCAUGCAUUCAGUUAAAUUGAUUUUCCUGUUUCCAAAACACUAAUUAGACUUACACUCCCCAAUUCUAGCAGUCAAACUUCAUUAUUCAAGAAUUUGCAUAGGUUAGUUUCUGCUAUCUAUUACAAUAAUAGUACUAACCACAGUAGGAAUAAAGCACUAAUCUAAUUUCCCAAUAAGCAUGUCUUGCAGUAGUAAUCAGUGACAAGGUUCCUGCUCUGCCAAGCCGGAGACCAUGAUUCUCCCUGAGAGGUGGUUGCCAGGUAAGUGAAAAAAUUUCCUUCACUUAAUCAGCAGUGCACUCAUUGAAUCCAGAGGAUACUUUAGUUUCAAGUACUGGAUUGAGGAACUUAGUGGGGAACCAAGGGUAUGCUGAAGGCUGGGGGCAUUGGUGGCUUUCUUAGAGUUGUAACUGUGGCCAUUAGCUGGUUACACCCAAAUUCUGCUUGAUGUCCAAUGACCUAAUUUGUUUACCAGUUAAUUUAAUUGAUACCUGACAAAAUUAGCUUGUGACAAGGUUAUUUUUUAAAUGUUCAUCCAUGGCCUGUCCUGCCAGGGGGAAGAGGGGUAACAUAUCUUUAACUGUAGGUAAUGAACACAAGCAUGUUCUUUGCUAACUUAUACCACAUUAUAUUACUAUAAUUUUUAAAAACAGUGGAACACAAAAUGAUGGCCUAAUUCAAUAUGAAGUCACUUAUGCUAUUGCAGAAAUCUUAUUCUGACUAUAGUCCCUGAUUUCAUUUCAUGAAAGUAGGGCUUCAUGAUGCAUAUAACAAAAACUCCAAGGAUUUUUACUAUAAAAUAGGUAGACAGGGUCUGAAAUCUGAAUGGGGAACCUCUAAGUCUGCUAACAAUCAGAGCUAUGAACAUUGUAUUUAAUUUUCCCCCAACUUGUUUUUCUUGUUCUUUGUACCUUUUCAUUUCCCUGAUUCCUGCAAAUGUUGAAUAUAAUUAGGAAAAAUAGACACUUCAAGUAGAAAAAGAUUUCCCGAUCCUGGCUGGAAUCAAGGUCAACCAGGGAAUCCAUUUCUCUCUUUUCCUGUGAAUCCCUUAAGGUUAACAUUAUGCCUGCACUUCUUCAUCCUUAGGAAUGCUCCCAGGAAGCUGCACAAAUGUCCCACCAUUACCUUUGAAAAGUGAGUUUCCUUCAGGCUCUCCACCCUUUUGCUGUGAAUGCCUUAAGGAUGACAUUGUUUCUCCAUUUAUGGGUUUUAGGAUUAUUCGAAUGAAGAUUUGAGCACUCUCCUAUUUCUGGACAAAUUUAAAAUUGAAAAGCUCACUGUUAUUUCAGAAAGUGGUAUGCUUAGUCCCAGGAAUCCUCUUAUUACAUGUUGAAAAGCUCAAAGUUUCUUUUCAAAGGUGAGUGUCCAGAAUUGCAUUGGUUUCAGAAAAUUGUAUAGGUUGGUUCUGGGGAUAUAAUUCAGUGAAAACCAGAGAGUUUACCUCCUCAUGGUACUUUGAAAGAUUUACUGAGGACGACCUCUUUUCUUGGAUGGACUCAGGUGCAUGCAUAAUAAGAAAAAGAAGCCCUGCUUUGUAUGCAGCAAGCUCUACAUUUUAUGUUCCUUUUGAGCCUCAGAACCAACUGUAACACUGAUGGUUUUCUUGCUCUGAUUUUGCAGGUCAGGGAGCUGAGGAAGACUGAGGUCACAGGUCACACUCAGCACUCUUAACAUGUCUGGUCAGAGAGCUGAGGAAGAAUGAGGUCAGGUGACUUGGCCCUCUUGACAUGUCUGGUAAAUGGAUGAUUGGAGAUGGGAAGCUCAGGCUUGCUGACCCUGCAGGUCAGGAUGUGGCCUCUUAGAGAUUGGGGCCCCUGUUGGCCAGCCAGUCACUUUUCCUCCCCUGCUAUUUAUGGAUUUAUUCUUGCCCUUCUUUACUUCCCAAAAUAUCAGGGUACAUAUACCAAGAGAUAUAGUCCUUUUCAGGAACCCUUUCCUUGAAAACUGUAUAUCAGACAAGUAAGGGAAAUGAGGCGGGUGGGAGAGUGGGUUUCAAUGUCCUCAUCCAUAGACUGUGUCUGAUGUAUGCAGUGGGUCCCCUGCUUGGCUGACCCCAGAUACAGGCCAUUGGACGAUGCCAUUGGGGUUCUUUUACCUCACUCAUUUUUACCCUUCCUUGUCAUUUCCCUGCUACAUGCACCAUGGAGUGGAGUCAGCAGGACAAGAAAUUACAAUCCCUCAGGCUUCAAGUCAUUUCUGCAAUACCCUGGAAGAAGUGAUAAGUGGCCCCCUGGUUCACAAAUGUCCUCCUUUAACCACCUCUGUUCCCUUUAAAAUGAUGAUUCCCAGGAAGAGCUGAGCAGUCUUCCUCCUCUGGACAAAUUUCAGUGUGAAAACCUCCUAAUUUCUUUUCAAAGGUCAGGGAGCUGAAGAGGAGUGAGGUCACAUGACUUGACCCUCUUGACAUGUCUGUCCAUUUAUCAGAUGAAUGAAGAAAUGCUAAGACAGGGGAAGUUACCGACACCAGGGAGGACACACCUGCUGAGGAUGAUUCCCAGGAAGAGCUGAGCAGUCUUCCAUCCUGGACAAAUUUCAGUGUGAAAACCUCAGUUUCUUUUCACAGGUCAGGGAGCUGAGGAGGACUGAGGUCACAGGACUCAGCGUUCUUGACAUGACUGGUAGAGAUGGGAAGUCCAAGAAAGCUGACCCUGCAGGUCAGGAUGUGGCCUCUUGGGGAUUGGAGCCCCUGUUGGCCAGCUAGACCUCCUUCCUCCCCUGCUGCAUGUGAAAUCAUUUUGCCCUUUUUCAUUUCCCUAAAAAUUCAGGGGCCAUAUUCUUUAAAGCCACAUAUCAGACAAGUGAUUGAAAGGAGCCCAGGGGGUGGUUUUAGAAGUCUAAUGCUCUGUCUGAUGUGUACAGCGGGUCCCCUGCUUGGUUGACCCCAGAUGCAGGCCACUGGACACUACCACUGGGCUUCCUCUUCCUCACUAAUUUUUUACCCUUCCUUGUUAUUUCCCUGCUACAUGCACCAUGGAAUGGAGUCAGCAGGACAAGAAAUUACAAUCCCUCAGGCUUCAAGUCAUUUCUGCACUUCUCAUUCCAUUAUGGAAUGAGAGAGAAGAUGGAAGAUGAGAGAAAUGGCCUUCUGGUUCACAAAUAUCCUCCUGCAACCAGCUCUAUUCUCUUUGAAAUGAAUCGCUGCAAGUGCCUUGGAAUCAGAGAAGCAAAUCCACUGGAAAGAGGCCACUUCAGAGCUGCCUUGGGAAGGAGAACUCUUCUGAAAUGUCCAAGGGAAGAAAUUUCCAGGAAAUAGACAACUACAUGGAACAUCUGGGACCCAAGAUGAAAAGUGUUGAACUGAACAUUGGGAGCGGAUUACAAGGAGAAAUUAUGUUAUUUAAUAUUGAUGAUCAUUUACUGUAUUACUUUGAUCUUUUGUUACAUGGAAUUUAUAUUUACUGAGUUUUCUUGGUGACCUUGAUAAUAUGUAAACUACCCUCUAAAAUUAGUACAUGGUGAGACCUCUAAGUGGCUUAAUCUGUAACAUGCCUUAGUUUACAAAUAGAGCUUAUUUCUAUCUUCGUGGGAUACAUGAGAUUAUGAUUCUGUACCUAAGUUUAUUCAACUAUGACUGAAGGAAACAUGAGCUUACGCACUUUUAAUAAAUGCCUUUUAAUUCUC